AACGAACGCUGGCGGCAUGCCUAACACAUGCAAGUCGAACGAGACCUUCGGGUCUAGUUGCGCACGGGUGCGUAACGCGUGGGAACCUGCCCUUAGGUUCGGAAUCACUCCCCGAAAGGGGUGCUAAUACCGGAUAAUGUCUUCGGACCAAAGAUUUAUCGCCUUUGGAUGGGCCCGCGUUGGAUUAGCUAGAUGGUAGGGUAAAAGUCUAUCAAGGCGACGUGACAUAGCUGGUCUGAGAGGAUGCUCAGACACACUGGGACUGAGACACGGCCCAGACUCCUACGGGAGGCAGCAGUGGGGAAUAUUGGACUAUGGGCGAGAGCCUGAUCCAGCAAUGCCGCGUGAGUGAUGAAGGCCUUAGGGUUGUAAAGCUCUUUUACCCGGGAUGAUAAUGACGGUACCGGGAGAAUAAGCUCCGGCUAACUCCGUG
RNAcentral lists this ribosomal RNA (433 nucleotides) under uncultured bacterium. Its description in RNAcentral is "partial 16S ribosomal RNA". It matches the Rfam family "Bacterial small subunit ribosomal RNA", at positions 29 to 507 of the family's 1533-position model. The record is from RNAcentral.